Molecule: long non-coding RNA, 227 nt
Organism: Mastomys coucha (southern multimammate mouse)
Lineage: Eukaryota; Metazoa; Chordata; Mammalia; Rodentia; Muridae
Exons: 4
Source: RefSeq, a predicted model, not a curated record
CAAGAGGGGACAGAAAGUAGACCCUUUCAGAGAAGGGAUCUGGCCAGCUGUGUGGAAAGAACCCUGGAGCUUGAGGGGACCCGAGUUCAUCAUACAUGCGCUGCUGUGGGAGGACACAUGACUCCUGGACAGUGCUUGGUGCACAGACAGACAUGAUCACCCUCAGCAUCCUCAAGGACCCUCUUCUCCUCGCUUAGGAUAUCUCCAACCGGCAACCAGCAACCAGC